AGCGUAGACGGAUGGACAAGUCUGAUGUGAAAGGCUGGGGCUCAACCCCGGGACUGCAUUGGAAACUGCCCGUCUUGAGUGCCGGAGAGGUAAGCGGAAUUCCUAGUGUAGCGGUGAAAUGCGUAGAUAUUAGGAGGAACACCAGUGGCGAAGGCGGCUUACUGGACGGUAACUGACGUUGAGGCUCGAAAGCGUGGGGAGCGAACG
This 207-nucleotide ribosomal RNA is filed under the name uncultured bacterium. RNAcentral's name for it is "partial 16S ribosomal RNA". It matches the Rfam family "Bacterial small subunit ribosomal RNA", at positions 568 to 774 of the family's 1533-position model. The record is from RNAcentral.